This is a non-coding RNA of Acanthosepion pharaonis, 110 nucleotides long. The record is from the annotation of a GenBank genome assembly. NCBI's taxonomy places the organism in Eukaryota, Metazoa, Mollusca, Cephalopoda, Sepiida, Sepiidae.
UUGCAGUCACAUCACGUUGAAACACUGGUUUCUGUAUGAUCACUGAAGUUAAGCAAUGUCGAGCCUGGUCAGUACCUAGAUGGAUGACUGACUGGGAAUACCAGGUGCUG